RNAcentral lists this signal recognition particle RNA (97 nucleotides) under Planctomycetales bacterium. RNAcentral's name for it is "signal recognition particle sRNA small type". It matches the Rfam family "Bacterial small signal recognition particle RNA". Rfam says of the family: The signal recognition particle (SRP) is a universally conserved ribonucleoprotein involved in the co-translational targeting of proteins to membranes. Lineage: Bacteria; Pseudomonadati; Planctomycetota; Planctomycetia; Planctomycetales. RNAcentral also lists the same sequence under 1 other name. The record is from RNAcentral.
AUUAGUGGAUCCCGCGAAAGGGAGUUGUGAAUCGAGUCAGGCCUGAAAUAUGGAGCAGCUCUAAGCGGCGUAACUUUGUGCGGGAUCCACUAAUCGG